AGAGUUUGAUCAUGGCUCAGAUUGAACGCUGGCGGCAUGCCUUACACAUGCAAGUCGAACGGCAGCACGGGGGCAACCCUGGCGGCGAGUGGCGAACGGGUGAGUAAUACAUCGGAACGUGCCCGGAAGUGGGGGAUAACGUAGCGAAAGUUACGCUAAUACCGCAUAUUCUGUGAGCAGGAAAGCAGGGGAUCGCAAGACCUUGCGCUUUCGGAGCGGCCGAUGUCGGAUUAGCUAGUUGGUGAGGUAAAAGCUCACCAAGGCGACGAUCCGUAGCUGGUCUUAGAGGAUGAUCAGCCACACUGGGACUGAGACACGGCCCAGACUCCUACGGGAGGCAGCAGUGGGGAAUUUUGGACAAUGGGGGAAACCCUGAUCCAGCCAUGCCGCGUGAGUGAAGAAGGCCUUCGGGUUGUAAAGCUCUUUCGGACAGAAAGAAAUCGCAUCGGCUAAUACUCGAUGUGGAUGACGGUACUGUCAUAAGAAGCACCGGCUAACUACGUGCCAGCAGCCGCGGUA
RNAcentral lists this ribosomal RNA (519 nucleotides) under uncultured Pseudomonadota bacterium. RNAcentral's name for it is "bacterial SSU rRNA". It matches the Rfam family "Bacterial small subunit ribosomal RNA", at positions 8 to 522 of the family's 1533-position model. Lineage: Bacteria; Pseudomonadati; Pseudomonadota. The record is from RNAcentral.